This 851-nucleotide long non-coding RNA is filed under the name Homo sapiens (human). RNAcentral's name for it is "TMEM18 divergent transcript". Lineage: Eukaryota; Metazoa; Chordata; Mammalia; Primates; Hominidae. The record is from RNAcentral.
ACACUUACCAGGAGCCCAGCAAGCUCUUCCUUAGGCUGAAGCCAUCCUGACUCAAAUCUGCAAGAGACUCGGGUAUCUUGAGGGUGCUAAAUCAAGUUUAGCCUAAAGCUGCCUCCUUACAUAUUUUAAGUUCGGCCUAAAGGUUUUUCUGCACAUCAUGAACCAUAACAAGGAGAGGUGUAAGUAGACCGUAGCCUACACUUGUGCCAGUCACUGAGUUUCGGCCAAUCAAACAUAGCCAACUGUUCAAACUGUGUUCAAAUAAGGCAAAUGCUGAGCCAUAACCAAUCCAAUGUCCCUUCAAUGUCCAUAAAUCUUCUUCCAACCAAAUGGUUGUGCUGGAGCCUCUGAACCUACUCUGACUCAGAAGGCAGACUGAUUCGCAAUUCAUUCAUUGCUCAAAGACUUUUAAAUUUAAUUUGGCUGAAGUUUUUAUUUUAUCAAGGGUUACCCCACAGCAAGAGCCCCUACAGAAGCCCGCACGUCAUGCUUGCCAUCCGCCUUCCUUCUCUCUCAACAAAGAAGGAGACCAGGAUUUGGAAUAGUGGAACCCAAUUUUUUAAAAGUCGACAACUCCUGGAAGCCACUGUAGCGACUCGGAAUCAACAUUCUCAGGACCCCAUCCGGGACGCCGCUGUGCAUGCAGCUGUCACAUCUCCCUGGACCCCCCUCUGCUGGCAGUUUCUCAGAUUUUCCUUGUUUUCGAUGACUGGGAUAGUUUUGAAGAGUAAUGGUCAGGCAUGCUGUAGAAUUUCUCUCAGUUGGGGUUUUUCUGAUGAUCUGAUUGGGAUUAUGGAAUUUGGGGAAGAAGACCAUAGAAGUAAAGUGCUAUUUUUAUUACACCCUGCCAA